AGAAUCAACGCUGGCGGCGUGCCUAACACAUGCAAGUCGCACGAGAAAGGGGCUUCGGCCCUGAGUAAAGUGGCGCACGGGUGAGUAACACGUGAAUGAUCUACCUCCGAGUGGGGAAUAACUGAGAGAAAUCUUAGCUAAUACCGCAUAACACUUACGAGUCAAAGCAGCAAUGCGCUUGGAGAGGAGUUCGCGGCAGAUUAGUUAGUUGGCGGGGUAAUGGCCCACCAAGACGAUGAUCUGUAUCCGGCCUGAGAGGGCGCACGGACACACUGGAACUGAAACACGGUCCAGACUCCUACGGGAGGCAGCAGUGGGGAAUUUUGCGCAAUGGGGGAAACCCUGACGCAGCAACGCCGCGUGGAGGAUGAAGUAUCUCGGUACGUAAACUCCUUUCGAUGGGGAAGAUGAUGACGGUACCCAUAGAAGAAGCCCCGGCUAACUUCGUGCCAGCAGCCGC
RNAcentral lists this ribosomal RNA (460 nucleotides) under uncultured bacterium. Its description in RNAcentral is "SSU rRNA". It matches the Rfam family "Bacterial small subunit ribosomal RNA", at positions 26 to 518 of the family's 1533-position model. The record is from RNAcentral.